Molecule: ribosomal RNA, 346 nt
Filed under: uncultured Pedomicrobium sp.
Lineage: Bacteria; Pseudomonadati; Pseudomonadota; Alphaproteobacteria; Hyphomicrobiales; Hyphomicrobiaceae
Description: bacterial SSU rRNA
Rfam family: Bacterial small subunit ribosomal RNA
Source: RNAcentral
GCAGUGGCUGUCGUCAGCUCGUGUCGUGAGAUGGUUGGGUUAACGUCCCGCAACGGAGCGCCAACCCUCGCCAGUUAGUUGCCAUCAAUUAAGGUUGGGCACUCUAGGUGGGACUGCCGGUGAUAAGCCGGAGGAAGGUGGGGAUGACGUCAAGUCAUCAUGGCCCUUACGGGCUGGGCUACACACGUGCUACAAUGGCGGUGACAGUGGGCAGCAACUCAGCAAUGGGGAGCUAAUCUCAAAAAGCCGUCUCAGUUCGGAUUGGGGUCUGCAACUCGACCCCAUGAAGUCGGAAUCGCUAGUAAUCGCGGAUCAGCACGCCGCGGUGAAUACGUUCCCGGGCCUU